GAGGGUAUAGCUCAGUGUUAGAGUGCAUGCUUAGCAUGUACCAGGUCCUGGGUUCAAUCCCCAGUACCUCCA
RNAcentral lists this transfer RNA (72 nucleotides) under Camelus bactrianus (Bactrian camel). It matches the Rfam family "tRNA". Rfam says of the family: Transfer RNA (tRNA) molecules are approximately 80 nucleotides in length. Their secondary structure includes four short double-helical elements and three loops (D, anti-codon, and T loops). Further hydrogen bonds mediate the characteristic L-shaped molecular structure. tRNAs have two regions of fundamental functional importance: the anti-codon, which is responsible for specific mRNA codon recognition, and the 3' end, to which the tRNAs corresponding amino acid is attached (by aminoacyl-tRNA synthetases). tRNAs cope with the degeneracy of the genetic code in two manners: having more than one tRNA (with a specific anti-codon) for a particular amino acid; and 'wobble' base-pairing, i.e. permitting non-standard base-pairing at the 3rd anti-codon position. The record is from Rfam by way of RNAcentral. Lineage: Eukaryota; Metazoa; Chordata; Mammalia; Artiodactyla; Camelidae. RNAcentral also lists the same sequence under 2 other names.